Molecule: ribosomal RNA, 498 nt
Filed under: Triticum aestivum (bread wheat)
Lineage: Eukaryota; Viridiplantae; Streptophyta; Magnoliopsida; Poales; Poaceae
Description: partial small subunit ribosomal RNA
Source: RNAcentral
AUGGCGCGAUGGUUUGAAUAUUCACAUGGUUUUGGAUGUUAUGGUGAGCUUGCCUGUCGUCGUUGGGACGGCAAUUUUUCCACUAUAGAGGUCACCUCUGCGCUACUUGCCAGAACGGUUGUAGCAACUAUUAUCUCUGCUGAUAUUAUUGAAGGGUCAUGGCAUGAUGAUUCUAGAGGUCGUGUGGUUGCCCGUACUGCUGCCAUAGAUAAGGACAUUCUGCUGCUUGACUCUGGAGAAGAACCAUUGAAAGUGGAUCCAGACGGUCGUGUUACCCUUCAAAGAGGCGUUGUUUGCGUGGAACGUCAGGGGAUGCUCACGGUUUCUAUGGAAGCCUACUCAAAGGCAGGUAUUUGUUAUGCAGAUUCUGUUGAAUUCAGGCCCAAAAAGUCUCUCACAAGUAUCGGUAUUUGCAACCUUGGAUUCUGUACGGUGCAGUUCAUUGUUGGUUGGUCCCCAAUGGCAACGAAGUCUGAUCUGAUGUACUUUGGCAACUGA